CCUACGGGAGGCAGCAGUGAGGAAUAUUGCUCAAUGGGCGAGAGUCUGAUGCAGCCAAGUAGCGUGAAGGAUGACUGCCCUCUGGUUUGUAACCUUCUUUUCUAUUGGAAUAAAAUGUUCCACGUGUGGGAUUUUGUAUGUACCAUAUGAAUACGGAUCGGCUAACUCCGUGCCAGCAGCCGCGGUAAUACGGAGGAUCCGAGCGUUAUCCGGAUUUCUUGGGUGUAAAGGGAGCGUAGGUGGAUUGUUAAGUCAGUUGUGAAAGUUUGCGGCUCAACCGGAAAAUUGCAGUUGAAACUGGCAGUCUUGAGUACAGUAGAGGUGGGCGGAAUUCGGGGUGUAGCGGUGAAAUGCUUAGAUAUCACGAAGAACUCCGAUGGCGAAGGCAGCUAACUGGACUUCAACUGACACUGAGGCUCGAAAGUGUGGGUAGCAAACAGGAUUAGAUACCCGAGUAGUC
This 460-nucleotide ribosomal RNA is filed under the name uncultured bacterium. RNAcentral describes it as "partial 16S ribosomal RNA". It matches the Rfam family "Bacterial small subunit ribosomal RNA", at positions 338 to 795 of the family's 1533-position model. The record is from RNAcentral.